UCUUUAUAGCUUGCUAUAAAGAAUAAUUAGUGGCAGACGGGUGAGUAAUGCAUAGGAAUCUACCUAGUAGUAUGGGAUAGCCACUAGAAAUGGUGGGUAAUACUGUAUAAUCCCUGCGGGGGAAAGAUUUAUCGCUAUUAGAUGAGCCUAUGUUAGAUUAGCUAGUUGGUAGGGUAAAGGCCUACCAAGGCGAUGAUAUAUAGCUGGUCUGAGAGGAUGAUCACCCACACCGGAACUGAGAUACGGUCCAGACUCCUGCGGGAGGCAGCAGUGGGGAAUAUUGGACAACGGGCGCAAGCCUGAUCCAGCUAUGCCGCGUGAGUGAGGAAGGCCUUAGGGUUGUAAAACUCUUUCAGUAGGAAAGAUAAUGACGGUACCUACAGAAGAAGUCCCGGCAAACUCCGUGCCAGCAGCCGCGGUAAUACGGAGGGGGCAAGCGUUGUUCGGAAUUAU
Molecule: ribosomal RNA, 453 nt
Filed under: uncultured Anaplasma sp.
Lineage: Bacteria; Pseudomonadati; Pseudomonadota; Alphaproteobacteria; Rickettsiales; Anaplasmataceae
Description: bacterial SSU rRNA
Rfam family: Bacterial small subunit ribosomal RNA
Source: RNAcentral